ACACGUAUCAUUUGGCCGCAAGCACUAUUGUCCAGCCUUAUCUUCUCAGCCCCCUAAUCAUGUAAUCUCUCCCCCAAUGCCUUCUUCUCACUCCCUCUCUGUCCAAUGAGGAACCAUGCGCAACACUCCCCCUCCCCAAUGGCCGCCGCUGCUUCAACGCCUCUCCCCGCGGCCGAAAUCUCACACGCCUACCGAGUGCCUCCCCUCCUUCCUCCACGCGCUCAGCGCAUGAUCCACCACCUUUCCCACGCCCUCGCGGACGCCCCACCACCGGGAACUCCAGCGCCUCCCAGAUCCUCUCCUUUCUCCUUCUUCCUCGCCCCCGCACACGCCGCACCAUCGGAACUCCUGUGCUGCCCAGAUCCUCUUCUUUCUCCUUCUUCCUCUCUUCCUCCCAAUUCUUUUUUUUCACUUGGCCAUGAGCAUGAGCACACACGUAGGGAGCCCCGCCACAUCGCCGUCGCACCGCCGCCACCACCCUCUACCUAACCUCCAUGCGGGAGGACAACUACGACAGCGCCAUCGAUUGCUUUCUUCGCUCGCGUUGUGGGUUCAUUCUUUACCCCAUCUGCAUCUCUGCUUUCUUCACCGAAGAUAUGCAGCCAAGCCAGUUGCAAUUGAGUCAAAGCAGAGUACCAAGCUGAAUUGGGCCCAAGCGGGUGACAGGAGCCGGAUGAAAUGGGCGCCGCCCCUCACCCGAUCACUCGCGCCGGUGAUGCGGCCUCCAUCCUACUUCUCCUCCGCCGCCGCCCUACUUCUCCUCCUUCACCGUGGCUGGAAAGGGAACGACUGGAUAAAAAUGAAACACAGGAUCACGAGUUGUAUACUAAAAAGUGCAGGGUGCUUUUUGUAAGAACAAAUCGUUUUCCCAGAUCCGCUUUAAAAAGGGACUGCAGGUUCAAUUAUGAGAAAACAUAAGAGGGUUUCCGCAAAAAUGCCAAUGACGUACCACCAGAAGCACUGCGUGCUUUAUUAUCAAAAAUUAAAAUUAAAAUUAAAUUAUUAGGGGUAGAAAGGUGUUGAUACUUUAUAAUAUGACGCUGUUAGCUAUUUU
This is a long non-coding RNA of Aegilops tauschii subsp. strangulata, 1054 nucleotides long. RefSeq lists it as uncharacterized. The record is from RefSeq and is a predicted model, not a curated record. NCBI's taxonomy places the organism in Eukaryota, Viridiplantae, Streptophyta, Magnoliopsida, Poales, Poaceae.